CGGGGUGAGUAACGCGUGGGUAACCUGCCUCAUACAGGGGGAUAACGAUUGGAAACGAUCGCUAAUACCGCAUAAGCGCACAGUACCACAUGGUGCAGUGUGAAAAACUCCGGUGGUAUGAGAUGGACCCGCGUCUGAUUAGCUAGUUGGUGAGGUAACGGCCCACCAAGGCAACGACCAGUAGCCGACCUGAGAGGGUGACCGGCCACAUUGGGACUGAGACACGGCCCAG
RNAcentral lists this ribosomal RNA (232 nucleotides) under uncultured bacterium. RNAcentral's name for it is "partial 16S ribosomal RNA". It matches the Rfam family "Bacterial small subunit ribosomal RNA", at positions 104 to 334 of the family's 1533-position model. The record is from RNAcentral.